AGAGACAGCAGCCGCCGCGGGAAUACGAAGGGUGCAAACGUUGCUCGGAAUUAUUGGGCGUAAAGCGCACGUAGGCGGCUCCGCAAGUCGGAUGUGAAAUCCCUCGGCUUAACCAAGGAAGUGCAUCCGAAACUGCAGAGCUUGAGUACUUAAGAGGAUCGCGGAAUUCCCGGUGUAGAGGUGAAAUUCGUAGAUAUUGGGAAGAACACCGGUGGCGAAGGCGGCGACCUGGUCCUUGACUGACGCUGAGGCGCGAAAGCGUGGGGAGCAAACUGGAUUAGAUACCCGCGUAGUCCCUGUCUCUUAUAC
RNAcentral lists this ribosomal RNA (309 nucleotides) under uncultured bacterium. Its description in RNAcentral is "partial 16S ribosomal RNA". It matches the Rfam family "Bacterial small subunit ribosomal RNA", at positions 504 to 807 of the family's 1533-position model. The record is from RNAcentral.